Molecule: ribosomal RNA, 433 nt
Filed under: uncultured bacterium
Lineage: Bacteria
Description: partial 16S ribosomal RNA
Rfam family: Bacterial small subunit ribosomal RNA
Source: RNAcentral
AACGAACGCUGGCGGCAUGCCUAACACAUGCAAGUCGAACGAGACCUCCGGGUCUAGUGGCGCACGGGUGCGUAACGCGUGGGAACCUGCCCUUAGGUUCGGAAUAACUCCCUGAAAGGGGUGCUAAUACCGGAUAAUGUCUUCGGACCAAAGAUUUAUCGCCUUUGGAUGGGCCCGCGUUGGAUUAGCUAGUUGGUAGGGUAAAAGCCUACCAAGGCGACGAUCCAUAGCUGGUCUGAGAGGAUGAUCAGCCACACUGGGACUGAGACACGGCCCAGACUCCUACGGGAGGGAGCAGUGGGGAAUAUUGGACAAUGGGCGAAAGCCUGAUCCAGCAAUGCCGCGUGAGUGAUGAAGGCCUUAGGGUUGUAAAGCUCUUUUACCCGGGAUGAUAAUGACGGUACCGGGAGAAUAAGCACCGGCUAACUCCGUG